CGUCGAGUAAAAGUUAAUGCUUUCCCCUCACCCCAUGUGAAUCCUAAAAAUAAUACACAGCACAUUCCUACUUCUCUCCGUAACAAUCAGCCAGCGACCCAGACUGUGUGGGAAAGCCUGGGUUUGUUUUUCCUGGGCAAUAUAAAUAGAACCUUUCCUCUAAUAAGGACAUUGAAUUAAUAGGGGUGGGGGGCGGGAAGCAGGAGGAGGAGGAGGAGGAGGAGGAAGUGACUGAGUAUGAUGACAGUACUGGAACAGGCUUCUUCGGAAUUGAGCUCUGAUUUGGCUCUUGACUUUCGGGCAAGGCCUGAUGAUGACUCUGGGAGACCUCAGGUACUCAAGGGCCCAUCACUGGCGGGGGGGCAUCACAGGCUCAGGUGCUCAGUGGGAAAUACAACUGGGGGGCAGACACUCAAGGGCCCAUCACGGGGGUGGAGGGUGCAUCACCGUCCUGCACUUCGCGUCCACUGUACACGGUGCACUGUACAGAUUUGAAAACUCAACGCACACCGUUCCCCGCGGUGAGCCACGUGCCUGAUUGGCACCGCUCGCUCCGCCGCUCCCUCCCUCCCUCCCUCCCUCCCAGCCAGGCCACCCAGCCGUCGGGUGGGGGGGAGGAAGAGAGGGAGAGCGCGCAGGCAGCCCCCACCACCCCGCUCGGGCUCGGUCGGUCGGGUGAUGCUGCUGUUGGCGCCUGCGCCGCUAGGCUUUAGCGGCGGCGGCGGCGGCGCCUGCGCGCUGCCCUCCGGCUCGUCCUGUAUGUAUCCCCCCCCUUCCCCCCGCCCCGCGCGCCCUCCUUUGUUUCGAGCGGCCUGUUUCCCAGGCAGCCCCGGCGGGGGAGGCGUGGCUAUGCAGAUGAGCCGCGGGGGCGGGGUCCUGAGGCGGCCGCCGCCGCUCGCGCUGCCGCUGCUGCUGCUGCCGCCGCCGCUGCCGCUAUCGCCCGCCGCUGCCGAGCCAGUCCGUGUGUCAAGCCCGUCAGUGGAGCUCGGCGCUCGCGAAGGGAGGAGCUGCUGUGAGGGCCGAGAGCGCGCGCGCCUCCUCCCGACCUCCCCCCCGUCCGUCGUCCUGCCGAGCCCCGAGGAUGAUAAACACCCAGGACAGUAG
Molecule: long non-coding RNA, 1104 nt
Filed under: Salvator merianae (Argentine black and white tegu)
Lineage: Eukaryota; Metazoa; Chordata; Lepidosauria; Squamata; Teiidae
Description: lncRNA (ENSSMRG00000001750.1)
Source: RNAcentral